This 345-nucleotide unclassified non-coding RNA is filed under the name soil metagenome. RNAcentral describes it as "partial contains 5.8S ribosomal RNA, internal transcribed spacer 2, and large subunit ribosomal RNA". The stretch from base 1 to 119 matches the Rfam family "5.8S ribosomal RNA", at positions 35 to 154 of the family's 154-position model. The record is from RNAcentral.
GAUGAAGAACGCAGCGAAAUGCGAUACGUAAUGUGAAUUGCAAAUUCAGUGAAUCAUCGAGUCUUUGAACGCACAUUGCGCCCCCUGGUAUUCCGGGGGGCAUGCCUGUCCGAGCGUCAUUGCAGCCCUCAAGCACGGCUUGUGUGUUGGGCCCCGUCCUCCGAUCCCGGGGGACGGGCCCGAAAGGCAGCGGCGGCACCGCGUCCGGUCCUCGAGCGUAUGGGGCUUUGUCACCCGCUCUGUAGGCCCGGCCGGCGCUUGCCGAUCAACCCAAAUUUUUAUCCAGGUUGACCUCGGAUCAGGUAGGGAUACCCGCUGAACUUAAGCAUAUCAAUAAGCGGAGGA